This 253-nucleotide ribosomal RNA is filed under the name uncultured bacterium. RNAcentral's name for it is "partial 16S ribosomal RNA". It matches the Rfam family "Bacterial small subunit ribosomal RNA", at positions 524 to 776 of the family's 1533-position model. The record is from RNAcentral.
UACGUAGGGGGCAAGCGUUGUCCGGAUUUAUUGGGCGUAAAGAGCGUGUAGGCGGCCAGGUAGGUCUGCUGUGAAAACUCGAGGCUUAACCUCGAGCUGUCGGCGGAAACUAUCUGGCUAGAGUCCGGAAGAGGAGAAUGGAAUUCCCGGUGUAGCGGUGAAAUGCGCAGAUAUCGGGAAGAACACCCGUGGCGAAGGCGGUUCUCUGGGACGGUACUGACGCUGAGACGCGAAAGCGUGGGGAGCGAACAGG